Tarenaya hassleriana is the source of this 533-nucleotide long non-coding RNA. RefSeq lists it as uncharacterized. NCBI's taxonomy places the organism in Eukaryota, Viridiplantae, Streptophyta, Magnoliopsida, Brassicales, Cleomaceae. The record is from RefSeq and is a predicted model, not a curated record. The transcript has 2 exons.
CAAGAUCCAUAAGCAGAGAGAGAGAGAGAGAGAGAGAGAGAGAGAGAGAUGGCUAACACUCUUGUGAAGAAUGCUUUCGUCUUGGCUGUUUUCUUCACCCUUGUCAUCGGAAUGUCUCUGGCCUGUGAAACCACGUCGCGCUUGUCGGAAUUCACCUCUUGCAGUGAAUGCAACGACUUCUGCACAUACAGACAUUUCAAGCGGGGCGCUUGCGUGGGAUUAUGGCCGUUUCGCGAAUGCGUCUGCUACAGAGACUGUGGCAAGUGAACGACGAAUAUGCAAACCGUCAUCCAGUAUGGGUAUACGCUUAUUACAUAUAUAUACAUAUAUAUAUAUGUCAGUUUAAGCAAGAAAAAUGAAUAACGUAUGAGUGUGAGAAUGUGUGUUAAUCUGUCUUUCUAUUGUAAUAAAAAGAAAGGGUUCUUUCUUUCAUGUUGUUCAUGAACUUGCAUUGUGUGUGUGCGUGUGUUUGGAUUUUGUAAUUUUUUUUUUUAAAAAAAAGAAAGGGCUCGUUACAGGCCCUUUUUGCGACU